Molecule: long non-coding RNA, 711 nt
Organism: Daktulosphaira vitifoliae (grape phylloxera)
Lineage: Eukaryota; Metazoa; Arthropoda; Insecta; Hemiptera; Phylloxeridae
Exons: 3
Source: RefSeq, a predicted model, not a curated record
UAAUAAUUAUAAGUAUUAAAAAUCUAUAAAAAUGCUUACUAUUGAUUAUUUUUGUAACUUUGAAAAAAAAAAAAAAUUCUUACAAGAAUAUUAUGAUUAGAGAGGACUUCAUAUCAUAGGUCACUAGUAUUGACUGUGUUUAAAAUUAUAAUUCAUUAAAAAUAUUUAUAAACACUAAAAACAAAUUAACGCGUGAUCCAAGUUUUGAAUAUGUCUCAUAUAACUAACAGAAAUUCGUCGAAUAAUAUCUUAACAUGAUAUUGUAAAAGAUACGUAAUAUAUUUAAGUUCAAACUUCAUUCAUGCGAAUGAAAUGUGUUUUAAAAUAAUACCAACAGUCAAUAAUAAAAAUUGCUUUGUGACGACAAUAGUGUAUUGGUUAUAUUCAAUUAUUUUUCGUCGUUUUCGGAACAUUACACACGCAUUUCAUUUCAGACAAGUACCAAGCAAUAUUAAAAUGUAUGCAAAAAUGUUUAUAAUACUACUCAUAGCCGAUCCACGUAUAUUGCAAUACUAAUCUUCAUCAAAUUUCGAUUUUAUAUACCUUUGAGUUACAGCUUAAGUGAUGUUUAAUAUGAAAGUCAUUUGAUGGGUCGAAAACCAGUUUUGAAAAACUGUCUAUACACUUUAUCUGUUUAAAUAUUUAAAAUGUGCACUUAAAACGGCGAGAUUCUUAUUAUGGUAAAAGAUAAUCAUAGUCAUAAAAAUUUAA